RNAcentral lists this ribosomal RNA (699 nucleotides) under Pseudomonas aeruginosa. RNAcentral's name for it is "bacterial SSU rRNA". It matches the Rfam family "Bacterial small subunit ribosomal RNA", at positions 56 to 751 of the family's 1533-position model. Lineage: Bacteria; Pseudomonadati; Pseudomonadota; Gammaproteobacteria; Pseudomonadales; Pseudomonadaceae. The record is from RNAcentral.
UGCAGUCGAGCGGAUGAAGGGAGCUUGCUCCUGGAUUCAGCGGCGGACGGGUGAGUAAUGCCUAGGAAUCUGCCUGGUAGUGGGGGAUAACGUCCGGAAACGGGCGCUAAUACCGCAUACGUCCUGAGGGAGAAAGUGGGGGAUCUUCGGACCUCACGCUAUCAGAUGAGCCUAGGUCGGAUUAGCUAGUUGGUGGGGUAACGGCCUACCAAGGCGACGAUCCGUAACUGGUCUGAGAGGAUGAUCAGUCACACUGGAACUGAGACACGGUCCAGACUCCUACGGGAGGCAGCAGUGGGGAAUAUUGGACAAUGGGCGAAAGCCUGAUCCAGCCAUGCCGCGUGUGUGAAGAAGGUCUUCGGAUUGUAAAGCACUUUAAGUUGGGAGGAAGGGCAGUAAGUUAAUACCUUGCUGUUUUGACGUUACCAACAGAAUAAGCACCGGCUAACUUCGUGCCAGCAGCCGCGGUAAUACGAAGGGUGCAAGCGUUAAUCGGAAUUACUGGGCGUAAAGCGCGCGUAGGUGGUUCAGCAAGUUGGAUGUGAAAUCCCCGGGCUCAACCUGGGAACUGCAUCCAAAACUACUGAGCUAGAGUACGGUAGAGGGUGGUGGAAUUUCCUGUGUAGCGGUGAAAUGCGUAGAUAUAGGAAGGAACACCAGUGGCGAAGGCGACCACCUGCACUGAUACUGACACUGAUG